GACGGGGGAUGCAAGCGUUAUCCGGAAUCACUGGGCGUAAAGCGUCUGUAGGUGGUGAUGCAAGUCACUGGUGCAAAACUCUGGCUCAACCGGAGCAAAGCCAGUGAAACUGCAUGACUAGAGUGUGGGAGAGGUAGAAGGAAUUCCCUGAGUAGCGGUGAAAUGCGUAGAUACAGGGAAGAACACCGGAGGCGAAAGCGUUCUACUGGAACACAACUGACCCUGAGAGACGAAAGCUAGGGGAGCGAACGGG
RNAcentral lists this ribosomal RNA (253 nucleotides) under uncultured bacterium. Its description in RNAcentral is "partial 16S ribosomal RNA". It matches the Rfam family "Bacterial small subunit ribosomal RNA", at positions 524 to 776 of the family's 1533-position model. The record is from RNAcentral.